CUCCCUCCCAGCACCAAAGGAAGAUACCGAGGCCAAGACAGAAUGAGAAUGAAAUAGACACUACAAGGAAGGAACAGCUGUUGGAAACAAAGAGAAGAAAGCAUAUAAAUAACAGAUUGCUUGACUCUAUCAAAUACUAAGGAAAGAUAGAUGUGUGCUCCAGGAUGUGCCCCAUGCACAUGAGUGCACUCAUGUGAAGAAGCCUGACUGAUGCCCGUCUCAUUCGGUACUGUGCAUGUGAGUUUGGGGUGACUGCAACUGUGUGCAAAGGGGUGCUUGUUAGGAGUCAAAUAUAGAAAAAAGGGGGAUCCCAGCCACAUUGCUGAACAUUUACCCUUCUGCUAUCAUAUGGUAUAAAAGCAAAACCAUACAGACAGACAGACAGAGACGGCGAUCCCCAGGUACUGGCAGGACUGACACAAGCCCCUGGCGCGGGACCCCAGGCCAGGACAGAGAGGAAUCUCGGCGACCUCGGAGCCUUACCGGGCAGAGCUGUCCCGCGUGCGCCGAAGCCAUCUUGCCACCAUUUGUUCUAUUCUGUGUGCUUUCCGAGUUUGGAAUAUACUGGUCUCCAGCUCUUCCAUUUACCUACAAGGAAGAAGAGUGCUUUUUAAGAGCUAACCAAAGCACUGUAGAGAGAAUUCUGUCACAAAGUGUCAAAUUCUGACACUUUUUGUGUUUGCCCAGUAGAAGAUACAUUGAGACUUUCUAUCUGAAACCCACAAAAAGCUGGACCCCCACAGAGGGACACUUUAGCAAACAGAGUGGCUUUGUUUUAAGCAAGAGAGAAUACAAUAGAUAAAGCUGCUCAAAUUUUGUGACUGUGCCCCUCAAGGAGAAAUGCACCUUCCUAGGUGACACUCUUCUCGCUCCUCCAACCCUGUGAGCAUCCCUGGACCACAUGGCUCAGUUUGUCUGCAUCAGGAGCUGCAGGGUCUCGCGAUGCAGUUCAGGCUGACCUUGAACUUACUUUGUAGCCAAGGCUGGCCUGGAACUUAGGAUGAACCUCCUGCCUCAGUCUCCCAAGUGCUGGCAUCAUAGGCAUGCACACCACACCCAGUCUGAGGUAACAAGUUUUGCAGAACCAAGAAAACAGAAACCUAUGUGAUUUUUAUAAGGGGAUUCUGAAGAAAGAUGAGUAGAUGUUCCCAAUAGCUCAGCAAUUAGAGGCAGUAGAUACAGGAGAAAUCUGAGCUGAGUCAUAGAGCUGAAAAUAUGGAAACAGUUCUCUACAAGCAAUAAUUGUAUUCAUGAUCCUUACCCAUCUAGACAGCAUUACUUUCCAGUCCUACUGGAGAUAAAUGACUCAUUUUCUGGAGAAAAAAAAAGUGAGCAAGAGAGGUUUGGGAAGACCAAGCACAAUAACAGGUGCAGGUUACUUAAUCCUUGUGGAUUAAGUAAAACUCUCACUGAACAACAAGAUCUCUAGCCUGUUCUUUUGCAUACUUCUCAGAAAACCUGCAGCUAGGACAUUAGAGCCCAAGAAGAGGCUAGAGAAGCUUCUUGGGAUCGUGGAUGAUCACUAGAGAAAAGACCUUUGGAUGGUGAUGCUUCCAGAUCCCCUCAGCAAAAAGGUAACUCUACCAGAUCACCUUGAAGCCUAUUUGCCAAUGAGUCUGACUCCUUACACAGAGCUCUGAUCACUUACUUUAACUCUUAUUAUGAAUGGACAUUGAUGAAAAGCCUGCAUUAUGAAAAACAGAUGAAAACAAGUGGAAUUCAGAAGUAACAGAAAUAAUGCAGGAAACAGAAGAAAAAAUCUGGAAUUUAAAUCCUCACAAAGAUACUAUGGCCAUGCAAGAUCUUUUCCUUUUUAAGUGAACCAUCACAGAGCAAGAAUGAACCUCUUGGAAAUUUAAAAAAUUAGCUAGAAUAAGUCAGGCACAGUGCUGCCUGCCUGUAAUCUUAGCUACUCAAGAGCCAAGACAAGAGGAUUGUUAGUUUAAGGCUAUCCUGGGCAACUUAGUGAGACUGUCUUCAAAAUAAAAGAAAAAAAGGUUAGUGAUGUAAUUCAGUGCAAAGGCUCUGGGUUCAACCUCCAAUACACAAACAAACAAACAAACAUGAAGAGCUUUACAGUGAACAUUUCAUUCGUGGCAAACAGCCAUUUACAAGGUAUUUGUUAGGAUAUAUUUCUAGAAGUGAAAUUAUUACAUCUAAGCAUAUGUUCAUUAAAAAAUUUGGGAUGUACAUUUAAAAUUGCUUCCAAGAAAAUACUGAUUUAUACUCCUGCCAAGAAAAGCCUUUAAAGCAUUGAAUAGUAUCAUUUGUAAAAUUGCCAAGGAUAGAACAAACAUUUAUUUUCUUAAAAAUUUAUGUUUUGUGAGACACAGAAGAUAAAAGUAAAGAUCCACAUUCUCCAAAAACUACAUAUUAUUCCUUAAAAAUAUUUGCUAAUGGGAAGGAAAGCAGUUUAAAUAUACAUAUUUGGAAAAAAUGCAGAAGACAAAAGCAAAUAUCAGGGCUAAUUCCACAGCAUGAAAAAUUAUAUAAUUAUCCUAAUUCAAGUAUCUAAUCCACCUCCAGAGGUUAACUCAGUUAACAAUUUAGUAUGUGUUUAUACUAACUUUGCCUUAAAUAUGUAGAGGCCUAUAUUACAUGCAUGAAAAUAUCUUUCCCACAAAGAUAGGAUUGUGCAUACCCAGUGGUCUGCACUUUGCAUUCUUAAACAUGUACUUUACAUUUGAAACCAGAUUAGAGCUCAUUAGUUUUGAUUUGAAGUUACUUGAUUACUGGUAGAUCUCAACAUAUUUCUUAGGCCCUGGUCAUUUGUAUUUAUUUUGUAACUUACUUUUCUGUUUCUGGCAUUUCCUUGUUUUUAUACUGAAAUGUUUGUCUGCUUGUUAUUGAUUUGUAAAAGCUCUUUUGUAAUAAAGAUUAUUUAAUGUUCUUUUGCCAAGGAUACAAAAUUAUCAUAUUUCUGUGAAGUUUAAUAUGGCCGAUCAAGAAUGUAGGUCUAGUUUCCUGACUAUUAGAGACUAGUCACUGAGGAAAGAAAAGCAAAUAUCUAGUACAGUCUACAGGAUAUGUUCCAAAUAUCAGUUGCCUUAGCCAGGCCUUCCAUAAGAUCAAAGUCUCUGACAAUUCUAGGACAUGGCUUUUUAUUUUUGAGAGGGGGGAACAUCUGACACAGAAUUAUUUUAUUUUUGAAAGCAUGUUGUAUGAGAUCUAUAUACAAAUUGAAUUAGAACACAAACCAAAAAAUCAUGCAAAGUUCAAAUUUUCAUUCAAUAAUAUUCCUAUUACAGACAAAAAGAAACCUGUCAAGUAGACUACUUACUUCACAGGUUAUCUUAUUCUCUACAUAUAUGGCUUAAUAAAUUAUUUUUUCCAUGGAGCACAGAUGUAUAGAUCCCAUGGAAAGCUGUCAAGUGAGACUUCCUUCUGAAUUAUUAACUGUGAUUUUAUUUUUAUUAGUACAUGUUUGCAAUACGUAAUGAUUACACUAAUUGUGGGGAAUUGGUACAUGUACAAACUCAUCUCAAUUAUUUUUCCCUUCUCUCCACCCCUUCUUCUUUGCCAGCAUCAGAUUCAUUUAUUUAUAAGUCCUCAUAAAGUUAAUUAUCAUACACACAAAAUAAUAACCAGACUAAAAGGCCAAAUAGAAUGAGGUUACUGAUGUGGUCUGUCUUCUAUCAGCCUUCUUUCAGGGGUUAAGGAUGGUUCAGACUUAAAACCAAGUCGUAUAAAGACUCAUCAAGAGAUCAGGGUAUUCUGGGCUGGGAAUGUGGCUUUGUGAUAAAGUGUUUGCCCAGCAAGAACAAGGUCCUGGGUCCGUCCUCAGCAACACAGAGGUGGAGAGGAGAAAUCGGAGAACGCUUAUCAGAUUAAAAACUUGGAGGUAGCCUAUAGUAUCACAGUUCACAAACAGUCCAAAGGCCAACAUGUGGAACAUCACAUACUCCACAUGAUUCUAGGAUGCAGAGCAAGGAUGAAUAAGGGAAGUGCCACAGGGAGGGAGACUUUAUCUCCAGCUCUAUCAAGACCUCUAAAGUGUUCCUUACAGUCCACAGGGUGGAAAAAGAUUUUUCAAGAGUUAUCAAUAUUUCAGCAACUGAAGGUAUUUGAAAAGAGACUAACUCUGCAUGGACCUAAAAGAGGUAUUACAAGAGCUGAAAGUGUAAUUCAGUGGUAGAGCACUUGGUCAGCAUGCUCAAGGCCCUGAAUUCAGUCUGUAUUGCCAACAAGAAGAUGUGGAUGUUGGGGAAAGGGAAAAAGGAAGGGAGGAGGAGAAAGAAGAGGAGAACUACACUACAAUGGAGUAGAGGAAUGGAAUACACAGACUAGACGACCUCUAUAGUUCCUCCCAUCCAUGAAAUUUGAAGUCUCUACUAGACCUAGGAACCAGGAAAGAUAAUACUUGUUGCCUUCUCUCUUGAAAUUCAAAUCCCUGCAUUACCCCGAGAAUUUGAAAGUUCUGAAGUAACCAUAGCACUGGAAAAUGCAGAAUUUCUGACCUCCACAUUAUUCAGCCUUUGAAUGAAUGCAGAGUCAUCAGAUAUACCCACAAUGUUUGGAGACCAGCAAGCCUUUUCAGCUUGCAGUAGUUACUUAGGGGAUUGUGAAGAAACUGCUGGCAAACACAAUUGAGCUAACCAAUUUCUAUAAACAUAGAACUAACAGAAUUAAUUUACAUUCUAUAUCUGACUGUGAGUAAGCAUGUGCCUUCACCCAGGAAUCUCUAAAGACCAAACACACGGCCACAUCAACCAACCCAGUGAAAGUGCUUCCUGAUUCAGAAAGGUAUGAGUAGGAGAAUUUAAAAUCAAGAGAAUGAUCUGCUAACAGCUUUGAUAUUAGUCUCUCUGCUUUUGUUAAUGGAAUAAAGUAAGAACCUAGAUAAUUCCCAGACAUCUGAAUCUUCUCUACAGUCCUAUUGCCAAGAAAUUAUUUCACCUUCGUUUAUGGUUCUAUCAUUCACUGUUGGGCCUGUCUUGUUAGAAAGUGUCUAAAGCUAAGUUCUUCCUCUCUAUAGUUUCUGACCUCUGUAGAAACGCUGCCCUCUGACCACCCUAAUUACCACCCGCAGAACAAAUCACUUCCCUUCUGUAAACUAGAUUUUUUACAUUAGUAUGUGGAAAUCUUUCUAUUGACAGGUUUUCAGUACAUAAUAAUCACUUUCAUUGUGGGAAGUUGAUACCUGUACAUAACACAUUUUAAUUCUUUUUUUUUCAUCCCCUUCCUUUCCUCUUCCCCCUCUUUCCCUUCAUCUCCUGAUCCCCUUUACAAAAGUUCUGUCUCCCUAUUUUCUGUUCUAUUUUAUUUUGCUCUUUAUUUAUAUUUUGGGUUUCUCAUCUAAGAGAAACCAUGUGAUAUUUAAGCUGUAACAUUAUGGUCUGAAGAUCCAUCCAUUUCCUACAAAUGGCUCAAUUUAUCCUCCUUUAUGGCAAGUAGUACCCUGUCGUGUAUAAUGCCAUAUCUUCUCCAUUUAUUUAUCUGUUGAUGGACAUAUGGGCUGCUUUCAAGACUGAGCUAUGAUCCUCUGUCCCAUACCAUAUAUCUCAGUUCCUCUACAAUUCUUCAUAGUACAGCACUGCCUUAGAUCAUCCUCCUUUGGGAACACACUAACUUGGCAAAAUCCCCUAAAAGACACAAAUUCUCAAACUGAACACAUUCUGAUUGUCUGGAACAAAGUGAAUAUAAAAAGGGAAACCCUCUCAAAAUAGUUUCCAAAUGGAUAAGAUGAUUCAAUACAUCAAAAUGACAGUCAUUUUAAAAGCAAGUGGAAAAUGAAGACCAUAAGCAUUCCAAACAGAUAAAAGAUAUGGUAAUAAAAUAUUUCAGGUAACUAGUACCUACUAUUGAGAAAUGAACAAUAAUAAGGGAGCUAGCAGAGGAUAGAAGAGAAACUGAAAAGCCAAAAAUCAUUUGCACUGAAGUGGUAUUUUAAAAUACAACUGGACACCCCAGAGGGCAGGGUCCACUGGAAGACAGUGAAUUCACGAUCCAGGCCUCCUCCACUGUGUCCCAGAGGGCAGGCCGGCUGGAAGACAAUGUGUUCAUAUUCUGUGCCCCUCCAUUAUAUCCUGGAUGGCGAGACCAGCUGAAGGACAGUGAAUUCAUGCUCUGGGUGUCCUCCAUUACCUCCCCAGAUGGCAGGGCUGGCUAGAAGAGUGUAAGACCCCCAGAACCCCAAGACCCAGGACAACAGCCCAGCACACAGACACACACACAUACACCUUUGGAGGGCAAGAUGCAGAGGCAGGGCACAGUCUCAGAUUCCCAGCCCACCCAGGACAGGCCUGGAACUCAACACGAUGGAUGAAGUUGGAAGUUAAACACUGGAACCUUCUGAAAUGAUAACAACAGAAGUGGAAAAGACUAUAGAGAAAAUGGUUUCUCACGUAAAAAAAGAAAUGCUGCUUAAAAUCAAAGAUAAUAGAGAAGACACAAAUAAAAAAAUAGAUAAGCUUAGAAAAAUAUGGAAAGAAAAAAUGCCCAACAUCGGAGAGAAAUGGAAUCCAUGAAACAAAUCCAAACAGAGAUUCAGGAGAUUCAAACCUCACUUGAAAGUAUGUGUAACAGACUGAAUGAAAGAAAUGAUAUAAUUCAGAUCUUGAAGACAGAAUUGCAGUAGUGAUCAUGAAAAGAAAGAUAUCUCAAAAGUAGCAAGAGACCACGAGAUAUCAAUCCAACAGCCAUAGGACAAAGCAAAGAAGAAUAACACAGGAUUGACGGGUCAAUAUGAAAACUGGAGACAUCACAAAUGCCAUAAAAAUCAUAAAUAUAUAUGUACCUAAUACAGGAGCAUCCAACUAUAUAAGACAGUUAUUGGCAGACAUAGAAAAUCAAAUAAGCAAUAUCACAGUUGUGAUAGGAGACCUGAAUAUCCCAUUGUCACAGAGAGACAAAUCAACUAGACAGAAAAUCAACAAAGAAAUAUCAGAGAUGAACCAAAGCUGUGAACAAAUGGAGUUAACAGGAUGAAGCAUGCCCGAGGCUCCGCUGCCAUCAGGGGAACAUCAGUGAAUCACCGCCCAGAGCCUCUCCACCACUCUGAGAACCCCAGAUUGGAGGAACCCAGGUGACUAGUCCAAUCCACUACAACAAAGGAUUUACAGUCAAUGCAGGAAACACCCAGGAUACAUCAUGGGCUUAUUCAGAGGAACACAAGAAAAUGUUAGGAUGAAGGAGCAAAAUACAAUCUCAAACCUCCAGCUCAUACAGAACAAGUUCAGGAGACAUAGACAUAGUAGAAAUUAGAAGUCACAUACCUGAAAUUCUCUGAAAAGAUAACAACUGAAGUAAAGAAGCAACUUAGUUCUUGUUUGGUUAAUUUUACAUGCCUAUGUCUUAUGGUCUGGACAGCUAUUUUUGAAGAUAACAAGAGGCAUUACAGUAGCCAUUAUCUUGUUUUGAAAUUCUGUAUCAUUUUCAUUGUUUUGUUAGAUUUGGUUUGGUCUUAUUCUGUUUUGUUUUGUUUUGUUUGAUUUGAUUAUGUCUGAAGGUGUGGGCAGCUAUUUUGAAGAUAAUAAGAUAUAGUAGCCUUUACUGAUUUCU
Cavia porcellus (domestic guinea pig) is the source of this 7500-nucleotide long non-coding RNA. RefSeq lists it as uncharacterized. The transcript is spliced from 3 exons. NCBI's taxonomy places the organism in Eukaryota, Metazoa, Chordata, Mammalia, Rodentia, Caviidae. The record is from RefSeq and is a predicted model, not a curated record.